AUAAAGGCAGCGCAGAAAAAUUUUAAUAAUUUUUUUAUAACCGUUCAGUUCUUUUAUGUACAUAUGCACGAGUGUUAUGAAUUUUUUCUUUAUAAUUGACAGCAGACACAAGUUGGGUACAUUCAACAAAAACUUAUUGAAUUGAAAUGUUUAAUAUGCAAAACGCUGGCGGCAGCUAUGCAAAAACCAAUCAGCUUUUAGCCGAUUUGCGUGCAUGCCACUCAAUCGAGAUAUACAGACAAAAAAUCAGGAUAUGCGAGAUUCUUUAAACCAGCGGAUGCUUCAAUGAAGGAGCCAAUGCAUAGAAGAGAAAAUGCCAUGGAGAACUUUUUCAGUCUGUGAACACGAUAAGAAAAUCGCACGGUAAAUGACUGACCAAUGAUACCAAGUCUUACUUCAUGUCAAACUCAACGCUUCAAAAGCUCAGCUGAAGGUUUCUCGGAUUAAUCGGAAUAUUUUA
Rhagoletis zephyria (snowberry fruit fly) is the source of this 460-nucleotide long non-coding RNA. RefSeq lists it as uncharacterized. NCBI's taxonomy places the organism in Eukaryota, Metazoa, Arthropoda, Insecta, Diptera, Tephritidae. The record is from RefSeq and is a predicted model, not a curated record.